CCUGUCCAAAACCCGGUCAGAUUCCGUCCUUUUUUGCUAACACAGAAGAAGCAGAUAAUCGAGUGACGCUCCUGCCCAAGCCGCGUCUCUAUGAAGGAGGGAUCUGCUGAGGGAUCUGUUGAAGAUGAGGCGACUGAAUCGGAAGAAGACUUUGAAUUUAGUGAAAGAAUUGGACGCCUUCCCGAAGAUUCCAGACAGCUACAUCGAGACCUCAACGAGUGGAGGAACAGUUUCUCUAAUAGCUUUUACAACCAUGGCUCUCUUAACCAUAAUGGAGUUUACGGUCUAUCGAGACACCUGGAUGAAAUACGAGUAUGAAGUCGACAAGGAUUACACUAGGUAAUACU
Long non-coding RNA from Protobothrops mucrosquamatus (brown spotted pit viper), 347 nucleotides. RefSeq lists it as uncharacterized. Lineage: Eukaryota; Metazoa; Chordata; Lepidosauria; Squamata; Viperidae. The record is from RefSeq and is a predicted model, not a curated record. The transcript is spliced from 3 exons.